CCUCUGGUAGCUCAGUUGGUAGAGCGGUGGACUGUAGAUUCACAGUUAUCCUAGGUCGCUGGUUCAAAUCCGGCCCAGAGGA
Molecule: non-coding RNA, 82 nt
Organism: Schistocerca americana (American grasshopper)
Lineage: Eukaryota; Metazoa; Arthropoda; Insecta; Orthoptera; Acrididae
Source: the annotation of a RefSeq genome assembly